This 378-nucleotide ribosomal RNA is filed under the name uncultured eukaryote. RNAcentral's name for it is "partial 18S ribosomal RNA". It matches the Rfam family "Eukaryotic small subunit ribosomal RNA", at positions 592 to 976 of the family's 1831-position model. The record is from RNAcentral.
CAAUAGCGUAUAUUAAAGUUGUUGCAGUUAAAAAGCUCGUAGUUGGAUUUCUGUUCUUGGGAUCUGGUCCGCCUCACGGUGAGCACUGGAUAACUGGGGACAUCCUCUCGAAGGCGGCAGGUGCACUUGAUUGUGUGUUUGUUGAAUUCGGGACCUUUACUUUGAAAAAAUUAGAGUGUUCAAAGCAGGCGUCGGCUUGAAUACAUUAGCAUGGAAUAAUGGAAUAGGACUUUGGUUCUAUUUUGUUGGUUUCUAGGACCGAAGUAAUGAUUAAUAGGGACAGUUGGGGGCAUUAGUAUUUAACUGUCAGAGGUGAAAUUCUUGGAUUUAUGAAAGACUAACUACUGCGAAAGCAUUUGCCAAGGAUGUUUUCAUUAA